AUUGCUGUCUAAUAUAACACCCAGAUUUCUGACUGUAGAGGAAGUAACAGUACAUCCGUCUAGUUGCAGAUUGUAAUCUACAAGAUUCUGUGUAGUGUUUUUUGGUCCAAUAAUUAGUAUCUCUGUCUUAUCCGAAUUUAAUUGGAGAAAAUUAUUUGUCAUCCAAUCUUUUACAUUUUUAACACACUCUGUUAGCUUAGAUAAUUGGGAAGUUUCAUCUGGUCUCGUUGAGAUAUAUAGCUGAGUAUCAUCAGCAUAACAGUGGAAGCUAAUUCCGUAUUUUCUAAUAAUAUUACCAAGGGGCAACAUGUAUAUUGAAAAUAGAAGGGGACCUAGGACGGAUCCUUGUGGCACUCCAUAUUUUACUGAUGAUAAAUGAGAUGACUCCCCAUUUAAGUAAACAAAAUGGUAGCGAUCGGACAGGUAGGAUCUAAACCAUCUUAGAGCCUGCCCUUGAAUACCUGUAUAGUUUUGUAAUCGAUCUAUGAGUAUGUCAUGAUCCCUCUCCAAGAAAUGUUUAUAGAAAACUGUAAUCAAUAUUAAUUUAAUCCUCUAACCUGAAUCUUUUGGUGAAUUAACUUUAUUAUAUUUUUCUUAAUUUGUUUAACCAGCACUAGUAAUUAAACAUGGGGUUAAUAGACAUAUUUUUGUUUUACAUCUGAAGAGCAAAAACACAAAGAACAUCAGUCCUGUUGGAGUUGAGGAAUUAACAUGGCUUUAUUGUGCCAAAUCAGAAAAGACUGAAAAGCUCCUAGAAUGAACAAAUCAUCAGUGCGUAAUUUCUGGAAUUUGGGCAGAAAAUCACUGAAUAUGAAAGACUGCAUGAAGAGAUACAGUAGAAGAAAAGCUGUUACUGAAAACGUUUGUCUUCACUCACAUGGUCCAGACUAAAGAGAAGCAGGUCUGAGGCCAGAAAUGGAGGAGUCUUUGUUGACAGUGUAUUCAGUGUUCACCAAGUGCAGCGCUGAUGCCUUAAGCUGUGAAGACUGCAUUCCCAAACUACUCUGUGAAAGCACAGAUGUCACACCCAUUAAAGAAACUUCACAAGUGAGAGCCGAUACCUCACAACCAACAACCAGGAAUCAAUGGACAUCUACGCGAGGCUUUUUCUUUUUUUCUUUUGAGGAAAGCACAGAGGACCGUCAGAGACUACAGCCACAUGAGCCAUGGACUGCUCUCACCGUUACCAUCAGGCAGAAAUUAUCACAGAACCAGCACCAGCAGACUGCAAGACAAGUUCCUUCCACAGGCAAUCAGACUGAACUGAACUUGUACCACCACACACAGUAACACCACACACACACACAUGUUUGUUUUUGUGAAAAGUUGGGACAUCCCAUAGGCGUAAUUGUUUUUAUACUGUACAAACUGUAUAUUCUAUCGACCUUCACCAACCCUACACCUAAACCUGACACACACACACAGCCUCAUAUGCACUGCACUCUAUCAGUUACACUGACUGGACUUACUAUUAUUCUGCUCCUUGACAUUCAGUUUGCACUAAUUCAUAGUGUACUGCACUGCAAAGGUAUAUCUACAGUACAUUAUUGAGUGAUUGUUUUUUAUUAUUUUUAUUUUCUGCUCUCUGUACAGUAUAAUAUUGCCAUAUAUAUUAUUUUCUACCUGGAUUGAGCCCUUAUGUAUACUGUGUAUAGUUUAAUACUGUUUAUGUGUUGCAAAUAUAUUCAGGACUUGUCAUGCUGUCAUGCUGCAGAGUUUGCAACAAACCAUUUCACUUCCU
Carassius gibelio (silver crucian carp) is the source of this 1741-nucleotide long non-coding RNA. RefSeq lists it as uncharacterized. The record is from RefSeq and is a predicted model, not a curated record. Lineage: Eukaryota; Metazoa; Chordata; Actinopteri; Cypriniformes; Cyprinidae. The transcript has 4 exons.